CAAUACAGUUCUAGAUCAUCUACAUGAUCCUCUCAUAACAUACCUUCCUUUUUGCUUGCUCUUUUUGUUAUCAAAGUGCCAGUUGUCAUGAUCUAAUAAAACAUUAACAGAAGCAAGCAAUGUGAAAACAAUGCAUCAGUACCAACUGACAGCCACAUGACACGCCGUGGAAUGAAGAAACCAAGAAAAAGCAAAACUGGGAGAGAAUCAAGAAUAGCUCAGCAAAUGGUGGUGCAGGAUGCCCAGUGCAAAAGAAUUUACCCUGUACCUGUCACGACCACAUUCAUGUUGCAGGUAUAUACAGGUCUGGAGCUCAAAGAAGAGACCAGGAUGAAGAUAAUCUUGGCAGAGUUCAAAAGCUAUUUCUCUCGUGUCUUAAAAAAGAAAGGGACUUCCCUGGUGGCGCAGUGGUUAAGAAUCCACCUGCCAAUGCAGGGGACAUGGGUUCGAG
Aethalodelphis obliquidens (Pacific white-sided dolphin) is the source of this 451-nucleotide long non-coding RNA. RefSeq lists it as uncharacterized. Lineage: Eukaryota; Metazoa; Chordata; Mammalia; Artiodactyla; Delphinidae. The transcript is spliced from 3 exons. The record is from RefSeq and is a predicted model, not a curated record.